AUCGCUUCUCGGCCUUUUGGCUAAGAUCAAGUGUAGAAAACCACUGCCCAUACAAGAUUAGAAGAAAAACAUUUACCAAAUUACAUAAGUAAUCUUC
This 97-nucleotide small RNA is filed under the name Marmota monax (woodchuck). The record is from RNAcentral. Lineage: Eukaryota; Metazoa; Chordata; Mammalia; Rodentia; Sciuridae.